This 434-nucleotide ribosomal RNA is filed under the name uncultured bacterium. RNAcentral's name for it is "partial 16S ribosomal RNA". It matches the Rfam family "Bacterial small subunit ribosomal RNA", at positions 29 to 507 of the family's 1533-position model. The record is from RNAcentral.
AGCGAACGCUGGCGGCAGGCCUAACACAUGCAAGUCGAACGAACCUUUCGGGGUUAGUGGCGGACGGGUGAGUAACACGUGGGAACGUGCCUUUAGGUUCGGAAUAACUCAGGGAAACUUGUUCUAAUACCGAAUGUGCCCUUCGGGGGAAAGAUUUAUCGCCUUUAGAGCGGCCCGCGUCUGAUUAGCUAGUUGGUUGAGGUAAUGGCUCACCAAGGCGACGAUCAGUAGCUGGUCUGAGAGGAUGAUCAGCCACAUUGGGACUGAGACACGGCCCAAACUCCUACGGGAGGCAGCAGUGGGGAAUCUUGCGCAAUGGGCGAAAGCCUGACGCAGCCAUGCCGCGUGAAUGAUGAAGGUCUUAGGAUUGUAAAAUUCUUUCACCGGGGACGAUAAUGACGGUACCCGGAGAAGAAGCCCCGGCUAACUUCGUG